This is an RNA transcript of Ixodes scapularis (black-legged tick), 558 nucleotides long. RefSeq lists it as uncharacterized. The transcript is spliced from 2 exons. NCBI's taxonomy places the organism in Eukaryota, Metazoa, Arthropoda, Arachnida, Ixodida, Ixodidae. The record is from RefSeq and is a predicted model, not a curated record.
CUAUUCAAUCCGUAAUUCAAUCCAACGAGGUGCAGAGGAGCCUGCGUAGAAGGGUGGUGGAAGGGUCGCGGGUCACGCCGGUGAAUUGAAACGCGGAAUAGGACCGGAACUCUGACUGCAGUGAGAUCUUACAUGCUGCAUACUGCCAGCAACAGGCAUGGCAUCAUUGCUCCGGACCGUAUGUGCCAGCGUGCUGCGCCCCACGCAACUGAUGCGCCCGUCAGAGCUGCAGCAGGUGCGGUCUUUCAGCAUCCUCUCCAAAAUUAAUGUCUGCAAUGUCCUGGCCAGCGCGUCCCCGUCAGCCCCGAUUCAAAUUCCAAUGCGAACCUUCAAGGACAUGGACGUGCUCACCAAGCGCUGCAAGGAUUGCUACUUCAAGAAGGACGACGACCGAUGGUACGUCCUAUGCAAGACGCACGGCCGCCAUAAGCAGAGGCAGCGACUGCCUGACAAGCGGCACUUUUGGAUUGUAACGCACAGAACUCAUGGACCACGGAAGAAUUUCUAAGCCACAUGUUGUUGAGGAUGUGCUGUUGAUUAAAGUGUAGAAAAUUGUAA